UAGGGAAUCUUCCGCAAUGGACGAAAGUCUGACGGAGCAACGCCGCGUGAGCGAAGAAGGCCUUCGGGUCGUAAAGCUCUGUUGUAAGGGAAGAACAAGUGCCAUUUAACUGAUGGCACCUUGACGGUACCUUACGAGAAAGCCACGGCUAACUACGUGCCAGCAGCCGCGGUAAUACGUAGGUGGCAAGCGUUGUCCGGAUUUAUUGGGCGUAAAGCGCGCGCAGGCGGUCCUUUAAGUCUGAUGUGAAAGCCCACGGCUCAACCGUGGAGGGUCAUUGGAAACUGGGGGACUUGAGUGCAGAAGAGGAAAGUGGAAUUCCACGUGUAGCGGUGAAAUGCGUAGAGAUGUGGAGGAACACCAGUGGCGAAGGCGACUUUCUGGUCUGUAACUGACGCUGAGGCGCGAAAGCGUGGGGAGCAAACAG
RNAcentral lists this ribosomal RNA (427 nucleotides) under uncultured bacterium. Its description in RNAcentral is "bacterial SSU rRNA". It matches the Rfam family "Bacterial small subunit ribosomal RNA", at positions 355 to 775 of the family's 1533-position model. The record is from RNAcentral.